ACUCAGUUGGUAGAGUACAAAGCUCUUAACCUUGUGGACAUGGGUUUGAGCCCUAU
This is a non-coding RNA of Triticum aestivum (bread wheat), 56 nucleotides long. NCBI's taxonomy places the organism in Eukaryota, Viridiplantae, Streptophyta, Magnoliopsida, Poales, Poaceae. The record is from Rfam.